Molecule: ribosomal RNA, 253 nt
Filed under: uncultured bacterium
Lineage: Bacteria
Description: partial 16S ribosomal RNA
Rfam family: Bacterial small subunit ribosomal RNA
Source: RNAcentral
UACGUAGGCAGCAAGCGUUGUUCGGAGUUACUGGGCGUAAAGGGUGUGUAGGCGGUUGGAUAAGUGUGGUGUGAAAUCUCCCGGCUCAACUGGGAGGGUGCGCUACAAACUGUCUAACUAGAGUGUGGGAGAGGUGAGUGGAAUUCCUGGUGUAGCGGUGAAAUGCGUAGAUAUCAGGAGGAACACCUGUGGCGAAAGCGGCUCACUGGACCACAACUGACGCUGAGGCGCGAAAGCGUGGGGAGCAAACAGG